UGGUAUAGUCGAUUGAAUUUCAGGAGUGUGGGGUUUAUUGUAUUGGCAGAGGGUUGAGUUAGAUUUUAUUUGGGGCAUUUUCUCAAUGUAAUAUUCUACGUAGGAUGGAAUUGUCAGUCACCCUUAGGUCUAUGCCAAUCAACCUAUUUCUCUUCAUUCACCACCAGAAGUUGCAACCUGUUUUGAAACAAGAGGAGAGGCAGGAGUAAACCUCACCAUCUUAAUUGAAGAGGUUUACAGAAGGAGCAUAUUGACUAAUAUGUUAUUAGCAGACAUUGUUUACUGAAGAAGUUGGCUCGUGCAGACCAAGAAUCUGGAUAAAGAAGAAAAACCAGAGGUGGGACUUUGCAAUUUUCCCUAUGGCUUAUAGGACCAGAAAGGGCCUUUAUGUUAUGUUUUCAGUUUUCUCAUUGGGAUGCUGGAGGGGGCAGGAGUGGGUUUAAAAAAAAAAAAAAGAGGCCUGGCCAUAUUCCUGAAUAAGGGCUAACUAGGGAAUGGGGAUUUUUUAUACAGUAGAAAAAGCAUUAACGGCUGAGGAAACCGGCAUGGAAAUUGCAUUAACAGAAUGAUUCUUUUACCAGGUCUCACGGCAGGGAAGAAAAGACUCUACGUCAUUGGAUCGCACUGCACACAAUUGCCGAAGCAAUUUGUGUUGUUUGUUAUUUAAUGGAUUCCUGAUGGCAAGCAUAUACAUUCUCUUUCUGGAUAGGCUAUUUACACGUUUUCCAAGAGAAAUAGAGAAUUAUUGUCAGGCUAGGUACUAGGAGCACACGCUGAAUACAAGCUGUAGUUUAGAAUCCAGUUUUACAAUGGGGAAAACUGUUCAAAUUUGAAGAGUCGGAGGUGAACUCAUCCAGCUUGGGCUAAGAUUUUGUUUGUUUGUUUUCUCCUCAAUUGGCACCACAGUGACAAUGUGGAUGACAGAUAUGGAACACACAGUAGCAGAGAAGAGGAUUGUGGAGCAGAUAAUAUUAUAAUUGUAUUUCAAUACCAAUUUAGUCUUUUCUUUGACUGAGAUUCUACAUUGGGUCUGCAUUGUGUAAAUCUAAACUUAUCCAUUUACAUGGCCGUUGUGCUGCAGCACCUUUCUACUGAAUAUUGACACUGACAAUCUGCAACUGUUUGUA
RNAcentral lists this long non-coding RNA (1127 nucleotides) under Anolis carolinensis (green anole). Its description in RNAcentral is "lncRNA (ENSACAG00000035217.1)". The record is from RNAcentral. Lineage: Eukaryota; Metazoa; Chordata; Lepidosauria; Squamata; Anolidae.